GCCCCAGCCCUGUAGCUGUGUUCCAGAGCCUUGAUCCCAACCAGCACGGCAUGGAGGUGGAGCUGGAGCUGGAGCCAUAGGGGGAGGGUAGCCUCAGUCUCUCCCUAGAGGCUGCCUUUCCCCAAGCUCUUCCUAACUGCACAGCUGAAUCUGUUUGCCUGUAUUGGUGAAGAAAUUGAGUUUCAUAAAUCAUCAUGCAGUUCACGUGGACGCUAACAUCAGAUAAACUGCCUGACAACCUAGCUGUAACAAAUCAUUGCUUGUUGCUAUGCUGCUCCUCAGAGCUCGGAGAGAAAGAUUCCAUGGCGCAAUAACAACCGGUUAUGUGUCCCAGGGGCAGCCGAAGCCGUGGCUCAGCCUUUCAGUGCCUUUGCUCAUGUUGCCGCCUUCUUUUUAGAAAAGACCCCUCUAUCCAUCACCAAAUCCAGCUCAGCCGCCUUCUGUGGAGUCUCCGUGCUCCCCACCCCCAAGCCCCCACCCCUCAGCCGCUGCUCCUGCAGCAAAAGCAUCAUGAAUCAUCCACACCUCCCGUUGCCCUAACAGGCCUCUUCUCUUAUUGUUCUUCUAGCAUGAUUGGUUUUGUUCCUUAUUAGAUGGUGAAAAGGAAUGACCUAAAUGGAGGUGGAUGGAUGGAUGGCCUUCCCGCUCCUGUACCUCAGUGGUGUAAUAUAUCUACUCACCCAAGAUUUGAAUUUCAAACGUGGACAACAAGAGGCCGAAUUUCUACACUAAAGAAGGUUGUUAAAAUUCACAGAGCAGAGAAGCUCUUUAAUAGACAAGAUUCAUGAUGGUCUUUUCACAGGGAAGCAGAAGAUUUAUUACAAGCAUGGGUUCUAAUGUAUGUUGUGCCUGAUGCCCCCCUCCCUAGGACAGAGAGGAGGAGAGACACCAAGGGCAUUCAGCCGGGUGCUCCCUAUACGCACUUCCCGUGUCCUUUGUUCAUGGCUGCUUGAAGCCAGGGAAGGUCAGAAUCAAGUCAUGCUGACCAUCAGCAAUUUGUUUAUGCUCUCGGAAUCUUUGCUUUUUUAAUUUUACACCUGCAGUUUGGAAGUAAUCAUGUGUUUCUUGUCUACCCUACAAGGUUUUGCUCAGAUUGAGGCAAGGGAAAGGGAGUUAUGACCUGGUGUUAAUAAAAUCUACCCUAAGCCAAGAACUACAGAGAGUUCUUUUAGAAACACUAACCUGAGUCUGUGGCUUAAGCUUUAAAACAGCCUUCUACUGCCCUUACAAAAGUCCACAAUCUUCAGCAUGGCUGCAGGUCCCAGGAUGCUCUGGCCCUACUUGUCUGCCAGCCUCAACCUGUUCCAUGUCCUUGGCACUCCAGCUGCACUCCUUUUCAGUUCCCUUAAAAUACCAUACUCUUCCUGAAGUUCCAGGUCUUUAAACAUACUGUUCCCCUGCCCAGAAGAUUCUUGCUCCUCAUCUUCACUUGGUUAACUCUCAUCCUCCUUCUAGGAUUCAG
This is a long non-coding RNA of Bos taurus (domestic cattle), 1462 nucleotides long. NCBI's taxonomy places the organism in Eukaryota, Metazoa, Chordata, Mammalia, Artiodactyla, Bovidae. The record is from Ensembl.